GACUGUACAAAGGUAGCAUAAUCAUUUGUCUUUUAAUUGAAGGCUGGAAUGAAUGGUUGAAUAAGAAAUUAACUUUCUUUAUUAUAAAUUAAAAAAUUAAUUUUUAAGUUAAAAAGCUUAAAUAUAUUUAAAAGACGAGAAGACCCUAUAGAACUUAAUAUUUUCUAAAAAAAGAAGUAUUUAUAGCUUAUAAAAACUUUUCUAAAAAAUAUUGAAUUGGGGUGAUUAAAAAAAAUCAAUAACUUUUUUUAUUAUUGUCAUUUAUAUAUGAUUAAUUUUUGAGCCUAAAUAAGGAUUAUAAGAAUAAGUUACCUUAGGGAUAACAGCGUUAUUACUUUAGGGAGUUCAUAUUUAUAAAGUAGUUUGCGACCUCGAUGUUGGAUUAAAUUAAGAAAUUAAUGUAUCAGUUUAUUUUCUAGGUCUGUUCGACCUUUAAAUAUUUACA
RNAcentral lists this ribosomal RNA (445 nucleotides) under Termatophylum hikosanum. Its description in RNAcentral is "partial large subunit ribosomal RNA". The stretch from base 319 to 445 matches the Rfam family "Archaeal large subunit ribosomal RNA", at positions 2542 to 2669 of the family's 2987-position model. Lineage: Eukaryota; Metazoa; Arthropoda; Insecta; Hemiptera; Miridae. The record is from RNAcentral.